This 232-nucleotide unclassified non-coding RNA is filed under the name Hevea brasiliensis (rubber tree). Lineage: Eukaryota; Viridiplantae; Streptophyta; Magnoliopsida; Malpighiales; Euphorbiaceae. The record is from RNAcentral.
AGAAAAGACAAAUUUAUGUGUUGCAACUUAAGGAAGUGAUUGAUGAAAAUGAAUUAGAUGCUGUUUUAGAAAGUGAAUUGGCAGAUGAUGAUUGUAUUCCGGAAGGGCAGCUUUCUCUCAAUGCACUGUGGGGCACUGGCAAUAACCAAACAAAGAUUAUCAAAGGCCACUGUGGGAAGAGAGAAUUACAUGUGUUAAUAGAUACUGGCAGCACUCAUAAUUUUCUAAGCAA